RNAcentral lists this ribosomal RNA (206 nucleotides) under uncultured bacterium. Its description in RNAcentral is "partial 16S ribosomal RNA". It matches the Rfam family "Bacterial small subunit ribosomal RNA", at positions 568 to 774 of the family's 1533-position model. The record is from RNAcentral.
CUCGUAGGCGGCCCGUUAGGUCAGGAGUCAAAUUCGGGGGCUCAACCCCCGCGCGCUCCUGAUACCGGCGGGCUUGAGUUUGGUAGGGGAAGGUGGAAUUCCCAGUGUAGCGGUGAAAUGCGUAGAUAUAUGGAAGAACACCAGUGGCGAAGGCGGCUUUCUGGACUGUAACUGACGUUGAGGCUCGAAAGUGUGGGUAGCAAACA